GACGAACGCUGGCGGCGUGCUUAACACAUGCAAGUCGAACGGAAAGGCCCUGCUUGCAGGGUACUCUCGUGUCGAACGGGUGAGUAACACAUGGGUGUUCUGCCCUCCACUUCUGGGUAUGCCUGGGAAACUGGGUCUCAUACCCCGUAUGAGCCCUCCUUCUUGUUAUUGUUGGUAAGAUUUUUCGGUGUAGGAUGAGCUCGCGGCCUAUCAGCUUGUUGGUGGGGUAAUGGGCUACCAACGCGGCGACGGGUAGCCAGCCUGAGAGGGUGGACGGCCACAAUGGGGAUGAGAAACGGGCCAGACCUCCAAGGGGAGGAGGAGGGGGGAAUAAUUGAAAAAGGGGGGAAGGCCGAUGGAGGGAAGGCGGGGGGGGGAAGAAGGGCUUUGGGUUGGAAACCCGCUUCGGUAGGGAAGAAGCUUUGUGUGACGGUAAUUAGUAAAGAAGCACCGGCUAACUACGUG
Molecule: ribosomal RNA, 465 nt
Filed under: uncultured bacterium
Lineage: Bacteria
Description: partial 16S ribosomal RNA
Rfam family: Bacterial small subunit ribosomal RNA
Source: RNAcentral